RNAcentral lists this ribosomal RNA (270 nucleotides) under uncultured archaeon. Its description in RNAcentral is "partial 16S ribosomal RNA". It matches the Rfam family "Archaeal small subunit ribosomal RNA", at positions 477 to 747 of the family's 1478-position model. The record is from RNAcentral.
CAGCCCCUCGAGUGGUGGGGAUGAUUAUUUGGCCUAAAGCGUCCGUAGCCGGCCGAGUAAGUCCCCCGUUAAAUCCAGCGUCUCAAGCGUUGGACUGCAGGAGAUACUACUUGGCUAGAGAGUGGGAGAGGUCAGCGGUAUUCUGGGGGUAGGGGCGAAAUCCUUUGAUCCCCGGAGGACCACCAGUGGCGAAGGCUGCUGACUAGAACACGUCUGACGGUCAGGGACGAAAGCUGGGGUAGCGAACCGGAUUAGAGACCCGUGUAGUCC